UAGGGAAUCUUCCACAAUGGACGCAAGUCUGAUGGAGCAACGCCGCGUGAGCGAAGAAGGGUUUCGGCUCGUAAAGCUCUGUUGUUAAAGAAGAACGUGGGUAAGAGUAACUGUUUACCCAGUGACGGUAUUUAACCAGAAAGCCACGGCUAACUACGUGCCAG
This 164-nucleotide ribosomal RNA is filed under the name uncultured bacterium. Its description in RNAcentral is "partial 16S ribosomal RNA". It matches the Rfam family "Bacterial small subunit ribosomal RNA", at positions 355 to 511 of the family's 1533-position model. The record is from RNAcentral.